Molecule: ribosomal RNA, 944 nt
Filed under: Ramularia proteae
Lineage: Eukaryota; Fungi; Ascomycota; Dothideomycetes; Mycosphaerellales; Mycosphaerellaceae
Description: eukaryotic LSU rRNA
Rfam family: Eukaryotic large subunit ribosomal RNA
Source: RNAcentral
GUUGACCUCGGAUCAGGUAGGGAUACCCGCUGAACUUAAGCAUAUCAAUAAGCGGAGGAAAAGAAACCAACAGGGAUUGCCCUAGUAACGGCGAGUGAAGCGGCAACAGCUCAAAUUUGAAAUCUGGCGCAAGCCCGAGUUGUAAUUUGUAGAGGAUGCUUCUAGGUAGCGACCGGUCUAAGUUCCUUGGAACAGGACGUCAUAGAGGGUGAGAAUCCCGUAUGUGACCGGCCCGCACCUUCUACGUAGCUCCUUCGAAGAGUCGAGUUGUUUGGGAAUGCAGCUCUAAAUGGGAGGUAAAUUUCUUCUAAAGCUAAAUACCGGCCAGAGACCGAUAGCGCACAAGUAGAGUGAUCGAAAGAUGAAAAGCACUUUGGAAAGAGAGUUAAAAAGCACGUGAAAUUGUUGAAAGGGAAGCGCUUACAACCAGACUUCUGGGCGGUGUUCCGCCGGUCUUUUGACCGGUCUACUCUCCGUCCCGAGGCCAACAUCAUCUGGGACCGCUGGAUAAGACCUUAGGAAUGUAGCUUCCCUCGGGAAGUGUUAUAGCCUCUGGUGAUGCAGCGCGUCUCGGGUGAGGUCCGCGCUUCGGCAAGGAUGUUGGCGUAAUGGUUGUCAGCGGCCCGUCUUGAAACACGGACCAAGGAGUCUAACAUCUAUGCGAGUGUUCGGGUGUCAAACCCCUACGCGUAAUGAAAGUGAACGGAGGUGGGAAGCGCAAGCUGCACCAUCGACCGAUCCUGAUGUCCUCGGAUGGAUUUGAGUAAGAGCAUAGCUGUUGGGACCCGAAAGAUGGUGAACUAUGCCUGAAUAGGGUGAAGCCAGAGGAAACUCUGGUGGAGGCUCGCAGCGGUUCUGACGUGCAAAUCGAUCGUCAAAUUUGGGUAUAGGGGCGAAAGACUAAUCGAACCAUCUAGUAGCUGGUUCCUGCCGAAGUUUCCCUC